UCCUGACGAUCACAUGGUGUGAUCGACGUAGCCCUGACAGGAGAUUGAUAUG
The submitters of this non-coding RNA (52 nucleotides) gave its source as unclassified sequences. The record is from Rfam.